UUGUGUGAUCUCAGAGCCAGCUCUGGUGCAAGUCCUGCUGACAGCCUGCUUGUCCUUGUCAUUGCUCCAGGAGCUGAGGGCACAGUUCCCCUCUCAGUAAUCCAGAUAGAAGUCAAACAAAUGUGUGUUUUUGCCAGCUGAAUGCUCCUAGAAAUAUUCACCCGCUUUUUGGGUAGGGUUUUUUAACCUUUGUAUUUCUUCCCUCAAUGUGGAAUGCCAAUAGAUCCCAGCAAUAUUUGCUAUCCAGUUUCUCUGAGAUGGGCCCCAAAAAAGGUGGACAAUGGCAAGUGUAAUUUCCAGGAAAAUUCUCACAGAUCCCACCAUUUUGGCAAGGGUUCAUGUAACAUUCGUUGACGUCUUCAUCACAAACUUAGAAGUUUCCACAUGAGGACAAGACAGAAGGAAAAGAAGCUGGAGGUCUGGACAUCCCUGACAGGAGGCGAAGGGAAAGCAGCGGCACGGGAAGAG
Molecule: long non-coding RNA, 468 nt
Organism: Haemorhous mexicanus (house finch)
Lineage: Eukaryota; Metazoa; Chordata; Aves; Passeriformes; Fringillidae
Exons: 3
Source: RefSeq, a predicted model, not a curated record